AAGUCGUAACAAGGUUUCCGUAGGUGAACCUGCGGAAGGAUCAUUAUUGAAUGAACUUGACUUGGUUGCUGCUGGUCUUUUCGAAGGCAUGUGCACACUUUGUCGUCUUUAUAUCUCCACCUGUGCACCUUUUGUAGACCUGAAACCAAAUUUCCGAGGCAACUCGGUCGUGAGGAAAUGCUUAACCGCUUUCCUUGUUAGGUUCCAGGGCUAUGUUUUCAUAUACACCAUAAGAAUGUAACAGAAUGUCAUUAUUAGGCUUAGUUGCCUUAUAAACUAUAUACAACUUUCAGCAACGGAUCUCUUGGCUCUC
Molecule: unclassified non-coding RNA, 313 nt
Filed under: Hypholoma lateritium
Lineage: Eukaryota; Fungi; Basidiomycota; Agaricomycetes; Agaricales; Strophariaceae
Description: partial internal transcribed spacer region
Rfam family: Eukaryotic small subunit ribosomal RNA (bases 1-46)
Source: RNAcentral